This 552-nucleotide ribosomal RNA is filed under the name Splendrillia sp. MNHN 17847. RNAcentral describes it as "partial 12S ribosomal RNA". Lineage: Eukaryota; Metazoa; Mollusca; Gastropoda; Neogastropoda; Drilliidae. The record is from RNAcentral.
AACCAAGAAAUUAAGUCAUAUAUUUACGGUAAUAAAGAUAGUUAGAUUUUUAAUAAUUAUAUAAGUUUUUAAAUGAUUUAUAAAAAAGUGAAAUUUAUAUAUAAAUUCUUAAAUUAGUAAUAACUUAAUCAAUCGAAUCUAUGAAAGUCUUGAGGGAAACUGGGAUUAGAUACCCCAUUAUUCUUGAUUGUAAAAUAAUAAAAUUUACCAGAGUAGUAUGAACAAAUAAUAAUUUAAAACUCAAAGAGCUUGGCGGUGUCUCAGACCACUUAGGGGAACCUGUCUCAUAAUCGAUAAUCCACGUUAUACCUAACCUUUUUUUGUAUAAUUCAGCUUGUAUACCAUUGUCGUCAGGUAACUUUUAAAAAAUUAUAAGUUAGCUAUAAAUUUUUAAAUUAAAACGUCAGAUCAAGGUGCAGCCUAUAAAAAGGAGAGGAUGGGUUACAAUUAAUAUUUAUAACUACGGAUAACUUAUUAGAAUUAAUAGUUGGAAGGAGGACUUAAAAGUAAAUUAGUUUACAGAAAUAUUUUGAAUAUGGCUCUGAGAUGUGC